AUAAUCUUUCUUAUUAUCUAUAAGGGCCGACGAGAUCACAUAAAUGCUAGACAUGAAUCAUAAAGAACCAAUAAUGACAGAUAAUGGCAUGAACAUAUAUCACAUGGGUCGACAAGGUUGUCGUGAAGCUAUAUAUAUGGUAUGAGCGAACAACACUGCCAUAAUAGACUAUACAACAAAAACCAGCCGACAAGGCAAUCCAAAACUAUGCAUGAGCAGUAGAAAGAAAACUCCAAUACAGCUUUCAUCACAUCGCCUAACAAGAUUUCAUACAAGCUUAACUACUGAUUUGAUUAAGCGAACCAUUGACUCAACCUUUCAAAAUUGUCCCUAUUUUGAAUACAACAGUAAACUUCAAUUAUUAUUCAAACUUACGAAUUCAAUUAAACAGUACAUCAUAUCAGGCUACCUAAAAGGACAUAGUAAUAUAAGUGAAUCAUAAAUAAACUUAUACCAGGUUCUAAAUUUCUGCACUUAAACCUAUUUUUAAAACAAAUACUGCAACAGUCCAAACAAUUCGAGAUUAGUUACAACAUGCAGAUUCUAAACUAAUCAACAGAAACUAACAAAAUUACAUUGAAAAUGAAUAAACAGAUAAAAAACUUCACGAAAGAUCAGCACUGCAUUUAUUUCAUCCUCAAACCAAGAGCUACAUCAUAAUAAGGUUGGAAUUGGUACAUGGUAUUUAACAGACAGCCAAAAGAAAUAAGGGUUCAGCAACGAGCAUCAACAGAAAAUCAGCCCAGAUUCAACAAAAUGAAGUGCAGCAGUCCAGGAAAACUUUCAAACGAACAGUACCCCACACAACUUCGAACCAAGAUUUUACAAACUCAAAUUAAACCCGUUCUAAAUUCAGAUGAAUCAGGAAUCGUUUCAGAAAUUGAAAACUUCAGAAAUUAGAGAAAAAGCUCAAUUGAACAAUGAUCAAAUUUCAGUUGUUUUGAUUUUACGAUUUUAUCAGCUCUCAAAAUCUCUCUCUUAUUCUCAAAAUGUGUAUCUCUCUGUGUGUGUGUCUCCAUGUUAUCUUAUUUCCAACUUUAUUAAAAAGGCACUAAACAGGGUGUCAUUUCUACUAUCAAUACCCUUUUUCCUUUUUAUUUAACCACUACUGACUUCGUAUACACAUAAUGUUUCAAUUGUGUCUAUAAAUUUGUCCGUUAACAUCCAGCUCCCCAUUUCAUCAAACAAGUAACAGCCCACUGAAACUCCAUUCUUAAACUACAAUAAACUUAGCUGAAAAUCAAUCCAACACUUCACUGGCAUUUUUAAGAGACUAGAAGGAAUGAGCCAACAUAAUUUUUAAAAUCACUCACAACUAGAAUUAUAACAAAGAUACGGAGAAUAUUAUAAACCUUUCAAUUAACAGAAAACUUCAGCAAAUUACAAUGGAUAGGAUAGUGCAGCUAUAGGCAAAAUCCAAGUCCGCGAUCAAAUUUGAAUGGAACUAUGAACCAACUUCGAAUCGGCACCUCGACUCAACGGAUCUCAUCUAGUUUCAGCGACUUCUAAGAAACCUGACUCUGUAGUAAGAACUGAUAACUCCGGAAAUCCGAAUAUUCUGGAAUUUGGACGACCAACAUGGAGGGUUCCUGUCUAAUUUUCGGCUACAAAUGAUUGAGUUUUGGGGAAUUCUACAGCCGAAUUUGGUGGCUGUUUCGAUGGAUUUUAAUGGGCAUUUCAGUUGGUGUGUUGGUGGGGAUGUGCGCUUGGUUUCCAGCAGAGUUGGAGCUGUGGGGGUUCAAGAGAUGGGCUUGGUGAGAGGUUGUUGGUUUAUGGGGGAUGGUGGGUUGCGAAGAAGACGGUCUUGGGGGAGGAGGGGUCUCUCUGGUGUCAACGGCGCUGAUUCUUAGUGGUAGUCUAGGUUAAAUCAUUUUAGGUGGGAUCCGGGUCGGGUCUAAAAAUGGGUUACGGGUUUUGGGGCUGGUCAUGGGCUGAUGAAUGAUGUGUAUGGGAGAACUAAAU
This 1962-nucleotide long non-coding RNA is filed under the name Nicotiana benthamiana. Its description in RNAcentral is "long non-coding RNA (NBEN_LNC005976)". The record is from RNAcentral. Lineage: Eukaryota; Viridiplantae; Streptophyta; Magnoliopsida; Solanales; Solanaceae.